RNAcentral lists this ribosomal RNA (979 nucleotides) under Verticimonosporium diffractum. Its description in RNAcentral is "SSU rRNA". It matches the Rfam family "Eukaryotic small subunit ribosomal RNA", at positions 51 to 1041 of the family's 1831-position model. The record is from RNAcentral. Lineage: Eukaryota; Fungi; Ascomycota; Sordariomycetes; Hypocreales; Hypocreaceae.
AUGCAUGUCUAAGUAUAAGCAAUUAUACGGCGAAACUGCGAAUGGCUCAUUAUAUAAGUUAUCGUUUAUUUGAUAAUACUUUACUACUUGGAUAACCGUGGUAAUUCUAGAGCUAAUACAUGCUAAAAAUCCCGACUUCGGAAGGGUUGUAUUUAUUAGAUUAAAAACCAAUGCCCUCUGGGCUCUCUGGUGAAUCAUAAUAACUUGUCGAAUCGACAGGCCUUGUGCCGGCGAUGGCUCAUUCAAAUUUCUUCCCUAUCAACUUUCGAUGUUUGGGUAUUGGCCAAACAUGGUGGCAACGGGUAACGGAGGGUUAGGGCUCGACCCCGGAGAAGGAGCCUGAGAAACGGCUACUACAUCCAAGGAAGGCAGCAGGCGCGCAAAUUACCCAAUCCCGACACGGGGAGGUAGUGACAAUAAAUACUGAUACAGGGCUCUUUUGGGUCUUGUAAUCGGAAUGAGUACAAUUUAAAUCCCUUAACGAGGAACAAUUGGAGGGCAAGUCUGGUGCCAGCAGCCGCGGUAAUUCCAGCUCCAAUAGCGUAUAUUAAAGUUGUUGUGGUUAAAAAGCUCGUAGUUGAACCUUGGGCCUGGCUGGCCGGUCCGCCUCACCGCGUGCACUGGUCCGGCCGGGCCUUUCCCUCUGUGGAACCCCAUGCCCUUCACUGGGUGUGGCGGGGAAACAGGACUUUUACUUUGAAAAAAUUAGAGUGCUCCAGGCAGGCCUAUGCUCGAAUACAUUAGCAUGGAAUAAUAAAAUAGGACGUGUGGUUCUAUUUUGUUGGUUUCUAGGACCGCCGUAAUGAUUAAUAGGGACAGUCGGGGGCAUCAGUAUUCAAUUGUCAGAGGUGAAAUUCUUGGAUUUAUUGAAGACUAACUACUGCGAAAGCAUUUGCCAAGGAUGUUUUCAUUAAUCAGGAACGAAAGUUAGGGGAUCGAAGACGAUCAGAUACCGUCGUAGUCUUAACCAUAAACUAUG